GACGAACGCUGGCGGCGUGCUUAACACAUGCAAGUCGAACGGUAAGGCCCGGCUCUUGUGGGGUGCUCAAGUGCCGAACGCGGGAGUAACACGUGAGUGACCUGCCCCUUACUGUGGGAGAACUUCAGGAGACUCGAACUAAUACCCCACAUAAUCUCCUUCUGCAUGGGGGGUAUGUUAGAGUGUCGCCGGUUCGGCAUGGACACGCGGUUUAUCAGUUUGUUGGUGGGGUGGUGGCGUACCAAGGCUUUGACGGGUUGCCGGCCUGGGAGGGUGACCGGCCACAUUGGGACUGAGAUACGGCCCAGACUCCUACGGGAGGCAGCAGUGGGGAAUAUUGCACAAUGGGCGGAAGCCUGAUGCAGCAACGCCGCGUGCGGGAUGACGGCCUUCGGGUUGUAACCCGCUUUCGCCUGUGAAGAAGCGUGAGUGACGGUAAUGGGUAAAGAAGCAACGGCUAACUACGUG
Molecule: ribosomal RNA, 468 nt
Filed under: uncultured bacterium
Lineage: Bacteria
Description: partial 16S ribosomal RNA
Rfam family: Bacterial small subunit ribosomal RNA
Source: RNAcentral